This 433-nucleotide ribosomal RNA is filed under the name uncultured bacterium. RNAcentral's name for it is "partial 16S ribosomal RNA". It matches the Rfam family "Bacterial small subunit ribosomal RNA", at positions 29 to 507 of the family's 1533-position model. The record is from RNAcentral.
AACGAACGCUGGCGGCAUGCCUAACACAUGCAAGUCGAACGACACCUUCGGGUCUUGUGGCGCACGGGGGCGUAACGCGUGGGAACCUGCCCUUGUGUUCGGAAUAACUCCCCGAAAGGGGUACUAAUACCGGAUAAUGCCUUCGGACCAAAGAUUUAUCGCCUUUGGGUGGGCCCGCGUUGGAUUAGCUAGUUGGUAGGGUAAAAGCCUACCAAGGCGACGAUCCAUAGCUGGUCUGAGAGGAUGAUCAGCCACACUGGGACUGAGACACGGCCCAGACUCCUACGGGAGGCAGCAGUGGGGAAUCUUGGACAAUGGGCGAAAGCCUGAUGCAGCAAUGCCGCGUGAGUGAUGAAGGCCUUAGGGUUGUAAAGCUCUUUUACCCGGGAUGAUAAUGACAGUACCGGGAGAAUAAGCACCGGCUAACUACGUG